RNAcentral lists this ribosomal RNA (515 nucleotides) under uncultured bacterium. RNAcentral's name for it is "partial 16S ribosomal RNA". It matches the Rfam family "Bacterial small subunit ribosomal RNA", at positions 28 to 523 of the family's 1533-position model. The record is from RNAcentral.
GACGAACGCUGGCGGCGUGCCUAAUACAUGCAAGUCGAGCGGACUUUCAAGAAGCUUGCUUUUUGAAAGUUAGCGGCGGACGGGUGAGUAACACGUGGGCAACCUGCCUGUAAGACGGGGAUAACUCCGGGAAACCGGGGCUAAUACCGGAUAAUAUCUUUCUUCGCAGGAAGGAAGGUUGAAAGGCGGCGCAAGCUGCCGCUUGCAGAUGGGCCCGCGGCGCAUUAGCUAGUUGGUGAGGUAACGGCUCACCAAGGCGACGAGGCGUAGCCCACCUGAGAGGGUGAUCGGCCACACUGGGACUGAGACACGGCCCAGACUCCUACGGGAGGCAGCAGUAGGGAAUCUUCCGCAAUGGACGAAAGUCUGACGGAGCAACGCCGCGUGAGCGAAGAAGGUCUUCGGAUCGUAAAGCUCUGUUGUCAGGGAAGAACAAGUACCGUUCGAAUAGGGCGGUACCUUGACGGUACCUGACCAGAAAGCCACGGCUAACUACGUGCCAGCCGCCGCCGUAA